Molecule: long non-coding RNA, 134 nt
Organism: Podarcis raffonei (Aeolian wall lizard)
Lineage: Eukaryota; Metazoa; Chordata; Lepidosauria; Squamata; Lacertidae
Exons: 2
Source: RefSeq, a predicted model, not a curated record
GAAAGGUGAUGUACAGAACCAAAUCUCCACCUUGAGUCAUUGGAAAUCCAAGUCUGCUACCCUUCUGGCUUUGAAAUUUCGGCAGAAACAGCACAUACACAUAGACUCAGCAGAACAAGAUGGGAGGCACUGCA